RNAcentral lists this small RNA (82 nucleotides) under Chryseobacterium joostei. RNAcentral's name for it is "Flavo-1 RNA". It matches the Rfam family "Flavo-1 RNA". Lineage: Bacteria; Pseudomonadati; Bacteroidota; Flavobacteriia; Flavobacteriales; Weeksellaceae. The record is from RNAcentral.
AUCUAGCCCUGAUUGCAGCGACAUCCUUUUUUGUGGUGGCCCAAGCAAAGUGAAAAAGAUACAGCGGAAAGCAGGUUCCCGG